GAUGAACGCUGGCGGCGUGCCUAAUACAUGCAAGUCGAGCGAACAGAUGAGGAGCUUGCUCCUCUGACGUUAGCGGCGGACAGGUGAGUAACACGUGGAUAACCUACCUAUAAGACUGGGAUAACUUCGGGAAACCGGAGCUAAUACCGGAUAAUAUAUUGAACCGCAUGGUUCAAUAGUGAAAGACGGUUUUGCUGUCACUUAUAGAUGGAUCCGCGCCGCAUUAGCUAGUUGGUAAGGUAACGGCUUACCAAGGCAACGAUGCGUAGCCGACCUGAGAGGGUGAUCGGCCACACUGGAACUGAGACACGGUCCAGACUCCUACGGGAGGCAGCAGUAGGGAAUCUUCCGCAAUGGGCGAAAGCCUGACGGAGCAACGCCGCGUGAGUGAUGAAGGUCUUCGGAUCGUAAAACUCUGUUAUUAGGGAAGAACAAAUGUGUAAGUAACUAUGCACGUCCUGACGGUACCUAAUCAGAAAGCCACGGCUAACUACGUG
Molecule: ribosomal RNA, 497 nt
Filed under: uncultured bacterium
Lineage: Bacteria
Description: partial 16S ribosomal RNA
Rfam family: Bacterial small subunit ribosomal RNA
Source: RNAcentral